GAUGAACGCUGGCGGCGUGCCUAAUACAUGCAAGUCGAGCGAACGGACGAGAAGCUUGCUUUUCUGAUGUUAGCGGCGGACGGGUGAGUAACACGUGGAUAACCUACCUAUAAGACUGGGAUAACUUCGGGAAACCGGAGCUAAUACCGGAUAAUAAUUUGAACCGCAUGGUUCAAAAGUGAAAGACGGUCUUGCUGUCACUUAUAGAUGGAUCCGCGCUGCAUUAGCUAGUUGGUAAGGUAACGGCUUACCAAGGCAACGAUGCAUAGCCGACCUGAGAGGGUGAUCGGCCACACUGGAACUGAGACACGGUCCAGACUCCUACGGGAGGCAGCAGUAGGGAAUCUUCCGCAAUGGGCGAAAGCCUGACGGAGCAACGCCGCGUGAGUGAUGAAGGUCUUCGGAUCGGAAAACUCUGUUAUUAGGGAAGAACAUAUGUGUAAGUAACUGUGCACAUCUUGACGGUACCUAAUCAGAAAGCCACGGCUAACUACGUG
This 497-nucleotide ribosomal RNA is filed under the name uncultured bacterium. Its description in RNAcentral is "partial 16S ribosomal RNA". It matches the Rfam family "Bacterial small subunit ribosomal RNA", at positions 28 to 507 of the family's 1533-position model. The record is from RNAcentral.